UCCUUUCUACCUGCCUGGGCUCUCUGAC
Molecule: non-coding RNA, 28 nt
Filed under: Mus musculus (house mouse)
Lineage: Eukaryota; Metazoa; Chordata; Mammalia; Rodentia; Muridae
Source: RNAcentral